AAACAAUUGUUUCGAUCCAAACUUCUAAUGGUAACUCUGUCCCCAAUCUUUUUUUAUAAAUCAACUCUGCAACAUAUGUGGGUUGCUAACUUGUUAUACAAUUAUACAUUUUUUUUGUUUUUCUACUAAAAUGACUUUUUAAUUAUUGACGGUUCAUACUUAACAAGCAACUGAGUCACAAACAUAUAUAUCAUAACCAUUAAUAAAUUGUAAACGAGGUGGUAAUAUAGGAAAUUUGAAUAUUUGUACAACAUCCAGAUUCUUCCGCAGGUCUCUCUUUGCUAAGGUAAUAAUGUUUUACAACUCAUAGAACUUUAUAAAUCAACUUUGAAAAAAAUAUGUGGGUUGUGUCGCUAGACCGGCACAAAAAUCUUAGGCGAUGAAUCAUUGGUUUGAAUCGAAAAAUUAAUUACGUUAGACACCCGUUUCCUCCGUGAGUUUGUACUACUAUGUUUUUAUUUGUACUACUAUAUGUUUUUAGUAUUAUUGAUGAUUACUAAUUAUUUUAUUCUGUGUAAUAAAAUUAAUUUAAACCUAUUUGAUAUUGUUUAAUACUUAUAUUUUGCUUAUGAUUUGCUCAUAUACAUUUUUUAAAUUCUUUUAUUCUUUUAUUAUGAAAAUGUAUCUUUAGUCACUAGCCUUUUAAUUUUCUUCUCUUUUCUUGUUAUGGAACCCUUUUUCUUCCUUUUUUAUUUU
This 696-nucleotide small RNA is filed under the name Arabidopsis thaliana (thale cress). RNAcentral's name for it is "ATSL052980". The record is from RNAcentral. Lineage: Eukaryota; Viridiplantae; Streptophyta; Magnoliopsida; Brassicales; Brassicaceae.